ACGUCUUGCGACUUGCAGAAUCCAGUGAAUCAUCAAAACUUUGAACGCAUCUUGCGCUUCCGGGAAAUGCCUGGAAGCAUGCUUGUCGGAGUGUCUGUAG
RNAcentral lists this ribosomal RNA (100 nucleotides) under Elachista fucicola. RNAcentral's name for it is "partial 5.8S rRNA". It matches the Rfam family "5.8S ribosomal RNA", at positions 60 to 154 of the family's 154-position model. From Rfam's summary of the family: 5.8S ribosomal RNA (5.8S rRNA) is a component of the large subunit of the eukaryotic ribosome. Lineage: Eukaryota; Phaeophyceae; Ectocarpales; Chordariaceae. The record is from RNAcentral.